RNAcentral lists this ribosomal RNA (448 nucleotides) under uncultured bacterium. Its description in RNAcentral is "bacterial SSU rRNA". It matches the Rfam family "Bacterial small subunit ribosomal RNA", at positions 329 to 794 of the family's 1533-position model. The record is from RNAcentral.
UGCCAGACUCCUACGGGAGGCAGCAGUGGGGAAUAUUGCACAAUGGGGGAAACCCUGAUGCAGCGACGCCGCGUGAGCGAUGAAGUAUUUCGGUAUGUAAAGCUCUAUCAGCAGGGAAGAAGAUGACGGUACCUGACUAAGAAGCCCCGGCUAACUACGUGCCAGCAGCCGCGGUAAUACGUAGGGGGCAAGCGUUAUCCGGAUUUACUGGGUGUAAAGGGAGCGUAGACGGCGAUGCAAGCCAGAUGUGAAAGCCCGGGGCUCAACCCCGGGACUGCAUUUGGAACUGUGUGGCUGGAGUGUCGGAGAGGCAGGCGGAAUUCCUAGUGUAGCGGUGAAAUGCGUAGAUAUUAGGAGGAACACCAGUGGCGAAGGCGGCCUGCUGGACGAUGACUGACGUUGAGGCUCGAAAGCGUGGGGAGCAAACAGGAUUAGAUACCCUCGUAGG